UACGGAGGGUGCAAGCGUUAUCCGGAUUUACUGGGUUUAAAGGGUGUGUAGGCGGACUUUUAAGUCAGCGGUGAAAUCUCCGGGCUCAACCCGGAAACUGCCAUUGAUACUAUUUGUCUUGAAUGUUGUUGAGGUGGGCGGAACGGGUCAUGUAGCGGUGAAAUGCAUAGACAUGACCCGGAACACCGAUUGCGAAGGCAGCCCACUAAGCAACGAUUGACGCUGAGGCACGAAAGCGUGGGGAUCAAACAGG
RNAcentral lists this ribosomal RNA (253 nucleotides) under uncultured bacterium. RNAcentral's name for it is "partial 16S ribosomal RNA". It matches the Rfam family "Bacterial small subunit ribosomal RNA", at positions 524 to 776 of the family's 1533-position model. The record is from RNAcentral.